This 118-nucleotide small nucleolar RNA is filed under the name Meriones unguiculatus (Mongolian gerbil). Its description in RNAcentral is "Small nucleolar RNA SNORA17 (ENSMUGG00000024310.1)". It matches the Rfam family "Small nucleolar RNA SNORA17". From Rfam's summary of the family: snoRNA ACA 17 belongs to the H/ACA family of snoRNAs and is predicted to guide pseudouridylation of the 28S rRNA at positions U4659 and U4598. The record is from RNAcentral. Lineage: Eukaryota; Metazoa; Chordata; Mammalia; Rodentia; Muridae.
UCUGUCCUAGAGGCAUUGCAGAUGUGGCUGUUGUGUCACAUGUGUGUCAGUAGGUGGCAGAGAGUAGAGAGCCUAGGUUUACACUCAGUGUUCUGGGAAUGAUUAGUAGCCUAACAUU